UACGAAGGGGGCUAGCGUUGCUCGGAAUUACUGGGCGUAAAGCGCACGUAGGCGGCUUUCUAAGUCGGGGGUGAAAUCCUGGAGCUCAACUCCAGAACUGCCUUCGAUACUGGAGAGCUCGAGUCCGGGAGAGGUGAGUGGAACUGCGAGUGUAGAGGUGAAAUUCGUAGAUAUUCGCAAGAACACCAGUGGCGAAGGCGGCUCACUGGCCCGGUACUGACGCUGGGGUGCGAAAGCGUGGGGAGCAAACAGG
RNAcentral lists this ribosomal RNA (253 nucleotides) under uncultured bacterium. RNAcentral describes it as "partial 16S ribosomal RNA". It matches the Rfam family "Bacterial small subunit ribosomal RNA", at positions 524 to 776 of the family's 1533-position model. The record is from RNAcentral.